Long non-coding RNA from Lathyrus oleraceus (garden pea), 865 nucleotides. RefSeq lists it as uncharacterized. NCBI's taxonomy places the organism in Eukaryota, Viridiplantae, Streptophyta, Magnoliopsida, Fabales, Fabaceae. The record is from RefSeq and is a predicted model, not a curated record. The transcript has 2 exons.
GGGAGUGUAGUGGACCAGUUGGAGGUGCAAAAUACAAGAAUAGGCGUUGGGAUUUGUCAACACUUGGGUCAACUAUGGCCACGACCCAUGAUUCGUUGCAAUUCAACCAAAAACCACAAACAGCGAUGAAAAACAUAAAUGUCCAGUCACUUUCGCCUGCGUCCUUCUCUCUAGCUUGAACGCAAGAACACAAAAUCGCGACGCCUUCAUCUCAAUUCCAGAUUCAACAAGAAAAUGACCAAACAAAAUUCCAUCAAAUCUACAUACGUUCGAUUUUAGAAUCAAGACACACAAUUAAUCAUGGAUUUGGAUCGAAAAUACCAAACAGAUCUUUAAGCUUCACGGUGAGUUACAACAAGCAUACAAUCGGAGCCCUAAGUCGUCGUGCUUCACGAAUUUAAGCAUAAAAUCGCAUUAGCCUGUACCUGAGGAGUUCGGCUUGGCGGCUCAACAAUGACAAUCUCCAGUGAAGAAUGGAGAAUUGAGAAGAGUUUGGAGAGCUUGGGGUUGAAGAAGGUUUAAGGUGAUUUAGAUGGGAGUGUGGGGAGUUUUGGUGCAUGCAGAAUGAUGUGAAGAUUAGAGAAUGGUGAAAAACGUCCCCGCUAGCGAUGUUGAUUCAGUCUAUUUUAUAGAGUUGGUUAAAAGGGGUAGUUUAGGAUUUUGCAUUUAAAGUUUCAGUUGUGAAAUUCAGGACCUGCAGGGAGGUGCAUUGUUGCGCUUUUGAAUUAUAUUCCCUGCAUUGCCGUUGAAUUUGCAAAUUGGUUCCUUGAUAAUUCUUUUGCACAUGCCUUGUAAAAUAACUUGUAUUGGGAUUCUCUUGUAAAUCUUUAUUUGGGCCUUAAUGAUGUAUGUUAUUCACCCCAAA